CUCCGCCGCGCCGGGGAUGGCCGCGGACGAGGAGACUCCUGGGUUUCCCUGGCAACAGGUGCCGGGGGAGCCGGGAGAGCCCGGGCUUCCCCGCUCGGCUCCGCGCCGCCGCCGACCCCGGGCAGCCUCGCCGCCGGGCCGGGCCGGGCCGGGCCUGUCCGCGGGCCGGCCCCGCCCGCAGCGGAAGGUUCACAAGAAAAGAAUGUAUUAUUUGAGGAGAAAACACUUCAUUGAACCUGAUGUUUCCCUGUUAGAGGUGGGGCUUUCUAAGCAGUUGCUGUUUUUUCAUAGAAGAAAUUCCAAGAAUUUAAGGCUCUGAAAGUAAUUUUCAUAGAGCCUCAUUAUUUGCUGUGUCCCUUGAAACCCUGUCUCCUCAAUUCACGUGAGUAUGUACAGAAGGGCAAACUCAUUCAGAAGCAAAAUUCUGUAAUAGGCAUGUGUGGGAGGAAGCAGAUAAUUUUCACUGAUC
RNAcentral lists this long non-coding RNA (469 nucleotides) under Lonchura striata (white-rumped munia). Its description in RNAcentral is "domestica (Bengalese finch) lncRNA (ENSLSDG00000006429.1)". The record is from RNAcentral. Lineage: Eukaryota; Metazoa; Chordata; Aves; Passeriformes; Estrildidae.